CCGAAAUUUAAAAACUCACAACGCGAGUCUCGUGCGGAAGCAAAUAUGACUGCCGAGACUAUGUGACUCUUCAAGUCUUCCUUUGCUCAAGUCAAACCUCACUCGUGAAGCACAUGUGACGAGUCUGUGGUGAGCAUCGGGAGCACUGCGUUUCCUUCGGGAUUCACAGUCUAAAAAAACGAAUUGUAAAAAGUAUAUAUAUAAACAAAAAAAAGACGAAAAAAAAAU
Molecule: unclassified non-coding RNA, 228 nt
Filed under: soil metagenome
Description: partial internal transcribed spacer 1
Source: RNAcentral